GAAGCCUUCAGAUCUUUAAUUCCAAAUAAAAAAACCUAAACCACUCCACACACCGCCGUCGCCACUGCUACUCCCCUCGACACCACCAUCACAAAUCUCAUUCUCGUCGCACCCUCAACGAACGCCAUCGUCGCCUCUCCACAAAAGCUUCGCUGGACGUUGCCUCGCCGCCACAGCUUGCCGCACGUCGAUGCCUCGCCGCCACAGCUCGCCCAAGUCGCCUCAACAGCCGGACGUCGCCUCCCCGGGGGGCUUGGAGGGAUUUUGGAUGCAUUAAGGAAAGGAAGUCCUAUUUCUUUGUGGCGAUAGCAGCCCCUGAACUGCUGCUGUCUGAGAAGGUAGUCCAAAACCUUGUUCAGUGGAGGGUUGCUUUUUCUUUUUUCUUUUUUCUUUUUUUGAGUUUUGCAGAUGGAAAAAGGAGGAAUCUGAUGGGGGCAGAGAGAGUUUUGGAUGCAAUAAUGAGAGGAGGAUAGCUGAUUACAAGCUGUAGUUCUUACCCAAAGCUUCUAAAAGUGGAGGAUAGGACUGCCAUGGGGAGGAUCCUUCUAUGGGAAAUGACUCCACAUGUCUUGUGAUUCUAUUAAGGCUGAUUCAUAGGUUGUAUUCUAUGGAAAUGAAGCCAUCUGUUUUCUUGGCUUUAAUUGGCUUGCAGGGUCUGAGAUAUAGGCUAAAGGAGGAGGUUCCUGCUGGAAGGGUUUUGCAGGCUCAUCUAAAGCUUGUAAAGUGGAGGAUGGGGCUGCCUUGGGGCUGAUCCUACAAUGGGAAAUGAUGCUUCAAGUGUUGACAGAGCUUAGCAUAAGUUGGGACCUGAGGCUAUUUUCUGUCCUCUUCUGGAGCCUGAAGCAAGGGGAGAAAUGGAGGUAUAAGGAUUGCAGUAGAUGAGAAUGAGGAUUCUGGGAACCUCAGCAACUCUGUAGGGUGUCUUUGAUAGUUGGAAUUUUGAGAAUUUGGAUGCAGAGUUUUGGAAUGAGGACACCAUGCUUGAAUGAGAGAUCUCGCCUUUUGAACAUGCUCUCAAGUUUCCAAAACAAGUUCAAUCCGGCAUCAAACAAUGAAGAAUACCUUCUAGUAAAAUUAGAAGAUCAGGAAGAUCAGCAACACUUGGGGGGGAAAUGAAAAAAAAGUUACCUUUACAAGAGAAAGGUCAGAUCUCGGAGAAAGAUGGAUAGCAAUUGAAGCAGAAAGUGGGUGCUGCAUAAAGCACACCACUAUGACUUUACAAAGGGGAGACGAAGGGAUCGUUUUCUUGACAGAAAUAGCUGACAAUCUACGAAAGCUUAGGGAGCUGUGAAGAAGACAUCAUAAUAUAAUAUUAUCAGUGUUAGUUACUGGUUUUUGUGUCUUAGGAUUUCAACAUUGUAUGGAAAAGAAAUGUGGUGCAUCAAAUGCUUUAUACAACUUUACUCACUUAUUCCUAAUACAAAAUACUACAUAUGCUACAGAAACAAACAAAGAAAGAAGGAAAGAAAGAAAGAAGGAAACAAACAAAUGAUUUCAACAUUCCAUUCUUAAAUUCUCAGCUGCAGAUGAGAGUACUAGCUUGCAGCUGCAAUUAAAGCUCUGAGUGGAGGUUAUUAGAACUGGAGAUUGCUUUUGGAGAAGUUGAAUUUAAGAAUGGAAUGCCUGAUGUAAAAUUUAGUCGGGUUUCCCAGUUUAAAGAUGAUGUGGCACCGCAUAAGAGAGAGAAAGGAAAUGGCGAUAGAGUCUUCGAAGUAUCAGGCACCGCCGGUGAAUAACAACAACAAUCAGGUGCAAUAUCAUCCUGGGUUUGUUCGGUUGCUUUCCAAGGCUUGGCUUGAUUGUGUUCACGCUGAGAGGUGAUGUCGCGGGUUUGUUGGCCGUGCGCCCUCCCUCCUUUCUGCGCGUCGCGAGCUGCUUCCCUUUCUCGUGCGAUUUUGCCUUGAUCUCCAUGUUCAGUAGUGGCGACCGUCGUUUCAAUAACACGCACAUCGGCGGGACGGAAAUCCGCAAUAGUGUCAUCGGCGACUUUCUCGGCCAGCGACUCAAAGUGGCUGGCCAUUUUGGGGACUCUAUUCUUCUCCAGUUCGACUUUCGUCCGUCUUGUUGGCUCUUCUCAUAUGCUCUGAAGCCAUUAUUGCACGACACUAACAAAUUCUUCUUCUUCCUCUGCUUCUCUUUUUUUGUAUCGUGUUUGAUUGAAUCUGGUGAUAGAAAGAAAGGAAUAAGGGGUAUAAAUUGGGUGGAAUGGCGAUAUACACAGGGAAGAUUGAGAUGUGGAUAGAGGACUGAUCUCUAGAAACACCACGAGUUACGGGGGAGUUUCAGAGAAUACGAGUAAGCUAAAAUUUUGGGUGUGGCGGGCUUUUCAAUUCCGGACGAGACCAAUUUCAUGAACCCAGGCAACCUCUCAUGCAGUACGUCAUGCCCGGAAACAGUACAGUUAAUGUGGACCUGUGGCUUUAAAAUUGCAGUGUGAUCUCUGUUAGUUCACAUUAUUCACCAAUCCAACAAUUCCAUUUCCUUGAACAAAGAAUCUUAACGACGACCUAAGAUUUUGUGGUGUGAAAGAGAAGGUUCCAUGUAUCUGGCAAGCCAGGGAGGCAAUGCGGCCAUGAAAGCAAUAACAAUGACGGGUUCUAUUUCGGCAAAUUGAUUAACUACCUAGAGUAAGGAUUGAAGAACAACAAUCACCUUAAUGGGCAAAAACUGGCGGAGGCAAUAACAACUAUCAGGGAGUGUGGAGAGAUUUCCAUAAAGAGAUCGGCGGCUCCAAGAAUGAUGAUAAUGGUGGCAGGGUGUCAAACUUUUGGCAGAGACAAUCUACAGAGUUUCUGGUGAGGGCAGGGGUUGUGAGAGAGGACAUUCAACCCAAUAGCGUUGGAUUAUCGGUACCAAAUAGAAGACCAAAAAAGAAAAAUACGAAAUAAUAAAAAAAAAAAAUCCAUUUCAGCAUAUUAUUACCGGUAACCUGUAAGAAACCUGUAAAAAAUGCUAGAUGGAAAAAAAUUAAUGGUUUGUGGUUCUAAACAUCACUUAUGAAAGUUCAGGGUGCGGCAUGAAUAAUCCGUUAUAGUUCAUUGUGCGGGAUGACACUUUAGCCAAUAAUGUAUUUUAGUUCUCUCUAUCAAAUAUUUUACUUUAUAUUAUCCAAAACUUAUUCUGUGGCAGUGAA
Molecule: long non-coding RNA, 3133 nt
Organism: Ipomoea nil (Japanese morning glory)
Lineage: Eukaryota; Viridiplantae; Streptophyta; Magnoliopsida; Solanales; Convolvulaceae
Exons: 6
Source: RefSeq, a predicted model, not a curated record